Molecule: long non-coding RNA, 1211 nt
Organism: Mesocricetus auratus (golden hamster)
Lineage: Eukaryota; Metazoa; Chordata; Mammalia; Rodentia; Cricetidae
Exons: 8
Source: RefSeq, a predicted model, not a curated record
GAUUCCUGAGUAGCAGAUGACCAUGACAAGUAGGGGCAGGACCAGGCUCAAGAUGACCAUCUUUAACGUUUGGAACCUCUUCCAGAAGUGAUACUGGGUGACUGGACUACUCAAUAAAGCCUGCUUCAUUUUUUCCAAUUAUUGUCUCCUGGGGACUAAUUUUCUGUGUGGGACGUGCUGGAAGAUGUGUGAAAGAAUAAAUGCUACCAGAGACUGUGUAGUUUAAAAAGCCUGCCUUGGAACAUAUCACAGUUUGCAACAAGAAGUCCAGCUGAACAAGGACAAAGUCUCUAGUGCCCACAAGGCUACCUUUGUCAGGGUAGCCGGAGAAUCCAUCCAGUCCUUACAGAAACAAGACGAUUCUACUCACCACCUCUCAAUGUCACACAUUGUCACCUGUGUGCCUCAGCCAUGAUGCUUGGGUUCAAAUGAUUCUGUCUCACACUCCUGUCAUAAAAACUGGAAUUGCAUUUCUACAAAAUGUCUGCUUCCUCUCUGGCUCCUUCCCUUUCUUGUUAAAGACUCCAAUACUCCAGUAUUGACAUGAAUGUGGUUUUAGAUCUACCUUGUUUGUGAUUCCAUUGCAAAACUACCAGAUCCCUAGAGGUAGAGACUGAUGUUUGCCUGUGGUAGUUUCGACUUGGAUAGCCUGUUGUUGCCAUAUAUCCUGGAGACCCUUUAGCUUUGGAUCUGCAAGUACAGUCCCUUCACAUGCUCCGGCAGUUUAUAGAUGAGCAUUUCAAACAGAUGGUGCAGAAGUCAGCUCCAAGGCUAGAUGACAGAGCAUAUGACACGGGUACAGUCGUCUCUGGGCUACAGCUAGAAGUGAGCUGAAUCCAUUGUUAUCAUCCCCAUACUUUUCCUGAAAUGUCACUUUCCACUGGACUUUCAUGGAGCUGAAGAACAGAGAAGCUGCUACCUUAGCUGAUUAUUGCAAGAGAUAAAGUUCGAUAACUUGGUGACAGAAUCACUGUGAACACAUACCUGAGAUGAUACAGCAAUCAACAAACCUAACUCCCAACCAGCCGCAGAUGGAAACAAACGACUCCUUGGCACCCCUUACUUGCCAAAAAAGUGACCACAGGAACCGUUGAGUAUGGACAGAAUAGAGGAGUGAUUGUAUCUUAAUCAUGACACCAAAUGUAAAACUCAGAACAUUCAUUUUCAGCUUAAAAGCUCAUCUUAAAAUAAAACUUCAGAGCAUCUUUGCA